Molecule: ribosomal RNA, 256 nt
Filed under: uncultured bacterium
Lineage: Bacteria
Description: partial 16S ribosomal RNA
Rfam family: Bacterial small subunit ribosomal RNA
Source: RNAcentral
GACGUAGGUGGCGAACGUUAUCCGGAAUCAUUGGGCGUAAAGGGUGCGUAGAUGGCAUGAUAAGUUAUUAGUGGGAAAUCGAGGCUCAACCUCGUGGAAGCUGGUAAUACUGUUUUGCUUGAGUGCAGGAGAGGUUAACGGAACCCCAUGUGGAGCGGUAAAAUGCGUAGAUAUAUGGAAGAACAUCAAUAACGGCGAAGGCAGUUAACUAUUCUGCUACUGACAUUGAGGCACGAAAGCGUGGGGAGCAAAACGG